CCGUUGGUGAACCAGCGGAGGGAUCAUUACAGAGUUGCAAAACUCCCUAAACCAUUGUGAACGUUACCUAAACCGUUGCUUCGGCGGGCGGCCCGGGUCCUUCCCGGCGCCCAUCGGCCCUCGCGGGCGCCCGCCGGAGGUAAACCAAACUAUUGCAUUGUAUGGCCUCUCUGAGUCUUCUGUACUGAAUAAGUCAAAACUUUCAACAACGGAUCUCUUGGUUCUGGCAUCGAUGAAGAACGCAGCGAAAUGCGAUAAGUAAUGUGAAUUGCAGAAUUCAGUGAAUCAUCGAAUCUUUGAACGCACAUUGCGCCCGCCAGUAUUCUGGCGGGCAUGCCUGUUCGAGCGUCAUUUCAACCAUCAAGCCCCGGGCUUGUGUUGGGGACCUGCGGCUGCCGCAGGCCCUGAAAUGCAGUGGCGGGCUCGCUGUCACUCCGAGCGUAGUAGUUACAUCUCGCUCUGGGCGUGCUGCGGGUUCCGGCCGUUAAAAGCCUUAUUUACCCAAGGUUGACCUCGGAUCAGGUAGGAAGACCCGCUGAACUUAAGCAUAUCAAUAAGCG
Molecule: ribosomal RNA, 560 nt
Filed under: uncultured Humicola
Lineage: Eukaryota; Fungi; Ascomycota
Description: eukaryotic LSU rRNA
Rfam family: 5.8S ribosomal RNA (bases 198-351)
Source: RNAcentral